RNAcentral lists this ribosomal RNA (254 nucleotides) under uncultured bacterium. RNAcentral describes it as "partial 16S ribosomal RNA". It matches the Rfam family "Bacterial small subunit ribosomal RNA", at positions 524 to 776 of the family's 1533-position model. The record is from RNAcentral.
UACGUAGGGGGCUAGCGUUGUCCGGAAUUAUUGGGCGUAAAGAGCUCGUAGGCGGUCUGUCGCGUCGAUCGUGAAAACUUGGGGCUUAACCCUGAGCUUGCGGUCGAUACGGGCAUGACUGGAGUUCGGCAGGGGAGACUGGAAUUCCUGGUGUAGCGGUGAAAUGCGCAGAUAUCAGGAGGAACACCGGUGGCGAAGGCGGGGCUCUGGGCCGAUACUGACGCUGAGGAGCGAAAGCGUGGGGAGCGAACAGG